CCUACGGGAGGCAGCAGUGAGGAAUAUUGGUCAAUGGACGGAAGUCUGAACCAGCCAUGCCGCGUGCAGGAAGACGGCUCUAUGAGUUGUAAACUGCUUUUGUACAAGGGUAAACCUGAAUACGUGUAUUCAGCUGAAAGUACUGUACGAAUAAGGAUCGGCUAACUCCGUGCCAGCAGCCGCGGUAAUACGGAGGAUCCAAGCGUUAUCCGGCUUUCUUGGGUUUAAGGGGUGCGUAGGCGGAUGGAUAAGUUAGAGGUGAAAGGUCCGGGCUUAACGCGGGAACUGCCCCUACUACCGUGGAGCGAGAGAGUAGAUGCGGGAGGCGGAAGGUAUGGUGUAGCGGUGAAAUGGUGAGAG
This 360-nucleotide ribosomal RNA is filed under the name uncultured bacterium. RNAcentral describes it as "partial 16S ribosomal RNA". It matches the Rfam family "Bacterial small subunit ribosomal RNA", at positions 338 to 695 of the family's 1533-position model. The record is from RNAcentral.